UUUUAGGGCUGCACCCGUGGCAUAUGGAGGUUCCUAGGCUAGGAGUCUAAUCGGAGCUGUAGCUGCCAGCCUAUGCCACAGCCACAGCAAGCCAGAUCCGAGCCAAGUCCACGACCUACACCAUAGCUCACAGCAACAACAGAUCCUUAACCCACUGAGCAAGGCCAGGGAUCAAACCCAAAACCUCAUGGUUCCUAGUUGGCUUCGUUUCUGCUGCACCAUGAUAGGAACUCCUUUUUUUUUUCUUUGUCUUACUAUUUUAUAAUAAAGUAUUGAACAUUUCAUGUAAUUUAUUGAAUACUGUUCUGAAAAACAGAAGGGUUGCAAUGAGUACACAAUAGUUAUACGUGUACGGGUUGUUGACCUUGGUGAUGGUGUGGCAGAUUAGGACCUACAACUGCAGUUACACCCUGGCAUCAUGGGUACAGUAUAUCAGUAGCCUGGGAAAAAAUCUAAAAUCAAAAUUCAAAAUUUGAAGUAUGGUUUCUACUUAAUGGGUAUUGCUUUCUUACCAUUGUAAAGGUAAAAAAAUCAUAAGUGAAACCAUCAUAAGACAGGGAAUAUCUGUAAUGAGAAAAUUAAUUACCUUUAAUUUAUUAGCUGUGAUAAUGACGUUGCAAUUUUUUUGGUAUUUGUUAUAAAUUAAACUGAAGUGUUUAUAGGUAAAAUAUAAUUUCAAAUAUUUACUAUAAAAACUCCAGAAAAAGUGGGAGUUCCCAUUGUGGUUCAGCAGGUUAAGAAGCUGACUAGUAUCCAUGAGGAUGCAGGUUCAAUCCCUGGCCUCAAUCAGUGACUUAAGGAUCCGGCAUUGCCCCAAACUGAUCACACAUUGCAUUGCUGUGGCUGUGGUUUAGGCCAGCAGCUGGAGCUCUGGUUUAUACCUCUUCUUCAGGAACUUCCAUUUGCUGUAGGAGCAGCCCUAAAAACAAACAAACAAACAAACAAACCUCCAAAAAAGAAAAUAUGUCUGUAGUAGGAAGCAAAGAACAGAAAAAAACCAAUAACUGACAAAAUAUAAUUAUUAAAGCUGGGUGAUAACUACAUGGAGGUUCCUUAUACAUUUUUUAAUACAUUUGGAAAUUUCAAUACUAUGUUUGGACAAAAUAAAUGCCAGUACUGUACUUUGUAGUAGAAAACUUUGGGUAACCAUGUUGCAAAACUUGGAGUUCCCAUGUGGCUCAGCAGGUUAAGGAUUUGGUGUUGUCGCCUCAGAUUUUGGGUCAUUACUGUGGUGAAGGUUCAGUCCCUAAUGGGAACUUCUGCAUGCUCCAGACAUGACUCAAAAAACCCCAAACCAACCAAACAAAGAAAAACAAAAAACUGUGUUGCAAAACUCAACUGAGAGAUAAUCCAAAAACAACAAAUAUUUAGUUCUCCAUUUAUAAUGACAAAUUUCUGUGACAGUUUUUAACUCUUACCAUCAUAUUUGUUUUUAAAUCAUCACUUUUUUUUUGUUUGGUUAGUUGAUUGGUUUUUCUUUGGGGGGGGUUGUUUUUUCGCUUUUUAGGGCCACACCUGAGGCAUAUGAAAAUUCCCAGGCUAGGGGUUGAAAUCAGAGCUGCAAUUGCCAGCCCACACCACAAACCCAGCAAUGCGGGAUCCAAGAUAUGUCUGCGACCUACACCACAGCUCAAAGCAACACCGGAUCCCUGACUCACUGAGUGAGGAUGGGGAUCAUACCCGAAUCCUCAUGGAUACUAGUUGGAUUCAUUUCUGCUGUGCCACAACAGGAACUCCAAAUCAUCACUGUUUCAAUUAGUGGCGAUUUUAAAUUUACUGUUAAUUUUCACUUUACUUGCUGGGAAGAAUAUAUAUAUGAAAAAGAGACAGAUAGAUACAUAUAGGUAAUAUGGAAAUUACCCAUAAUGGAACUUGGGAAGCAAAAAGUGAUUAAAGAACAAGACAUUACUGUCUAUACAAAUUCUCCAGAAGGAGUUUUCCAAAGUCCAAGUAGUUGCACUGCUUAUUCUUUAUUUACUUAUUACUACUUAGCAGGUGGCUUCACAUAGAGUUUAAUCAAUGGGAGUACCAGUUGGAGAUUAUGUAGUGAAGGAGGAAGAUCUGAAAGUGGUUGGGUCCUUCCCAAACAGCAGGUACUGGCAAUGGCCCAUCCUCCUUAACUCCAGUGAUUACUGGUCUCCCAUAACACUUAUUUUCUCCCUUUGUCCUCUCAGACAAGGGAGGGAUCAUGAAUAGCUGCUUAAUAUUUAUUGCUGGUUUCUUGGUGGCUCAAAAUUACAGCUAUCCCUCUUAAGUUUACACACACCUCCUAAUAGUCCC
Molecule: long non-coding RNA, 2280 nt
Filed under: Sus scrofa (pig)
Lineage: Eukaryota; Metazoa; Chordata; Mammalia; Artiodactyla; Suidae
Description: lncRNA (ENSSSCG00015032807.1)
Source: RNAcentral